This 65-nucleotide transfer RNA is filed under the name Phaolus metallicus. RNAcentral's name for it is "tRNA-Leu". The record is from RNAcentral. Lineage: Eukaryota; Metazoa; Arthropoda; Insecta; Coleoptera; Cerambycidae.
UCUAAUGUGGCAGAAUAGUGCGAUGGAUUUAAACCCCAAAUAUAAAGAUUAAACUUUUUUUAGAA